This 518-nucleotide small RNA is filed under the name Arabidopsis thaliana (thale cress). RNAcentral's name for it is "ATSL014930". Lineage: Eukaryota; Viridiplantae; Streptophyta; Magnoliopsida; Brassicales; Brassicaceae. The record is from RNAcentral.
UAUUGUUAACUUCUUUUUAUUAAGAACUCUCCUUUAUUAAUUGGGACAAAGCAAACUUGCACAUGAAAAAAAUCAGAAAGAAACAAGACGUAAUUAAAAUUUUACAAACAUAGAUAUAUGACUAUUGAUUGCAUGCAUGAACCAUUGAUUGAUCAACACACACAAGUUUCAAAUUUAUUACAAUAAAACGCAAACAAUACUUUGAAAAUGAUGAGAAAGCUUUCUCUGCUUGGAUUCUCUCUUUCAUCUUUUGUUUCUCUUAUUACAAUCACCAGUACUGGUUUCGUCUUGUCUUUGUCUUCUUGUGUACAUCGUGUUCUCCUGCAAGUAUAUUAAAUAUACAUUAUAAUUAUUGACAUGCAUGCAUCAACAUAGGCUUUUAAUUAUUGAGUUAACAAGGUGUGUAGAUGUAAGUAUUGAGAGAGUAAUUACCGUGAUAGAGAUAUCUAAUAGUGGUAUGGAGGAGGAGGAGAUUUGUAGAGGUAAGGAUGGUGUGGUGGAGAGUAGUGGUGUACUGG